This 87-nucleotide non-coding RNA is filed under the name Pseudo-nitzschia fraudulenta. The record is from RNAcentral. Lineage: Eukaryota; Bacillariophyta; Bacillariophyceae; Bacillariales; Bacillariaceae.
AAUUCAAAACAAGAAAAACCGGAGAAUCUCGUCUCAUCUUGUUGCUAGUAGAAGUUUUGUUUCUUUUUUGUCUCCUUUUCGUAUUUC